Molecule: long non-coding RNA, 4714 nt
Organism: Chrysemys picta bellii (western painted turtle)
Lineage: Eukaryota; Metazoa; Chordata; Testudines; Emydidae
Source: RefSeq, a predicted model, not a curated record
GUGAGCUCACAUCCGGCUGGGCUCCGUCACCGCCCCUCAGGCCUGCGGGGGGGGGCUCCGGCUACAGGGACCCUGCCAGGCUGCAGCCCCCGGCCAAAGCCCCGCCCCCGGCCAGGCUGUGGCGCGCGGGACACCCAGCCCGCGGGGGCGGGACUGGCGAGCUAGAGCAGGCGGCCCCAUGACAUACACCCCCACACACCUCCCCUCUGGAGGCGGGAUUAGCCCCUUCCCCGAACCGAACCCCUGGGAAAGCCGGGGAGUGUUGCCAGCUCGCCUGUCCUGGCCCCCUGUGGGGUCGUUCUGAAAGCCCCGGCUCCUGGAGUCCUGUGAUGAGGGAAGGCUCUCAGCUUUCAUUGCAAAAAGGGGUCUGGCCCUGGGGGCGGCUGAGACAAGCUGGGGAAGGUGACCCUUGAAAGCUCAAAAGGGGAGAGGAUGGAGCAGAGAGAUUACAACGCACCUAACAACGUCCUUCCGCCAGCCUUAGGAGGGACUGUAACACUAACAAUACCUCUCACCAGUCCCCAGCAAGACAGGAUGAAGAGACUUUAACAGUCAGCAAAAUUUCCCUUCUCUCUGGGGAUUGAGGAUUCUGUAACUCUCUUUUACUCCUUUUUUCCCUCUCAGAGUGCCCCUUCUGCUUCUGCUAGUCUUUGCAAUGAGGAACAAAAAAGCAGCAGCGACUGGUCUCCACAGCACCAUUUAUAACUCUUGUACAACCUGUAUUGUCUGACAUCUGAAUGAAAAUAAGAUCUACAGCUUCAGAAUGUGGAGAAGGGUGCAGUUUCCCUGGCAUGAAAUAUCUGAUACAUUUUCAGAGAGACAAGGUGGGUGAGGUAAUGUCAUUUAUUGAACCAACUUCCAAUAUUACUUCUUUAGUAUUCUGGGACCAACACAGCUACAGCAAAUUUUCAGAGGGUCAUUUUGCCCCUUUUUCCCUUAUUUUAACUGUUUAACAUAACAGUGAAAGACGUAUUUUUCAUACUAGUUCUCUUUCUGGCUUUAUUCGAUAUUUAUUAAUCUCUUCUUCCUGGGUGUUGUAGGUCUGAAACGCCUAAACCAUGUUUUCAGCCACAAUAGAGAUAAGAAUAGUCAUAGUAUAUAACAACUAAAGUCAUACAAGGACACUACACGCUCUAGGAUAUAAAUACCGGGAAACCCCAGAGAGUUGCAGCCUUGGCCAGCAAGUAAUUCUAGGACUCUUUCUUUGGGAAAUGUUUCUUUGAUGCAUACCAAUGGCACAGUUCUUUGCUCUUUAGAAGUACCAUGACAAGGCAGGAAAAGCUCUCUUGAGUCAGGAUGCCUCCUCACUGGGAACUGCUAUAUCCCCAUCUUUUCUUUGCUUCUAAAGAUGCUUCAGCGUUUAGAAGAAAUACAUUCACUCCAGUCUCUCAAGCUUUUCUAGUUUGCUAGAAAUUCAUUUAGACUUAUUCCUUUUUCUCAUUUAGCUCAAGUGAUCGAGAUCCUGGAUUUCUGAGCAGUAGAUCUAAGUUCUGUCCCCACUGAGCUUUAUAUUGUCCCAUCAUUGAUCAUGAUGAACCUUUUUUUCUGUUCCAGCAGAAUGGGAGACUCAGGCCAUGUCUACACUAUACAUUUUUGUUAGUAUAGCUGUGUUGGUUGGUGUGUGCAGAGGUGUGAUUCCUGACCCUCUUAGUUGAAGACUCUCUUUAGCCUCCAAGAUUAAGCUGUAUUUCAUCCCUCCCAUCCUAUUAUCUCUUCACUAGAGAUCAUGAGAAGUGGUCUUUAUGCCGGUGACGGGCUGACAGACUCCAGAGAGCUGACUUCAGGCUUGCGUAUCAUGCAGAAUCAUCUGAACAUUUUAUGUGUGACUUGUUUUAUACAGUAUUGUUAUUUAGACUCCCAGUUUAAUUCUAGGCACAUAAACAAAAUAGUUCUCUUCGGGGAUGCAUCACUUGAUCUGUGAGUGAAUAUUGCAGGAUAGCACAGAAACAUUUUGGCUGGGUUUUUAUCUAAAAACAGCACUUCUGUGCUAAAUGAACUAGGACUGAUAAGCUUCACUUAGGGAGAAGGAGCCACCUGAAACUUGUUUUAAACAGACUGGUUGCCUUUCAUACAGUCAACUUUCUCUAUUCAUUACAGGAGAAAACGGCGCUUCAUAGCCUCUAGGUGGCAGUGGUUCUUUACCAUUACUAAUCAUUACCAGGAACAGAAGUGCUUAUCCAUAUUGUCUCUCCCUCCCUGAGAAGUGUUGUCAUGAUAUGCUCUAGGGCUAAUCUACACUACCUGCCCGGAUCGGCGGGUAGAAAUCGAUCUCUCGGGGAUCGAUUUAUCGCGUCUCAUCUAGACGGAUGAAUCGAUCCCCAAAUUGAUGCAUGUACUCCCACCUUGUCAGGAGGAGAAAGCGCUGUCGACGGGGGAGCCGUGGCGGUCGAUUUGCCGCCAUCCUCACAGCGGGGUAAGUCGAAUAGGUUGAAAUUUGCGUAGCUGAAUUUGCGUAUCUUAAAUCGAUUUCCCCCUCCCCCCCCCAGUGUAGACCUAGCCCUAGUGUUACCAGCCUUACCAGACAGCUAUAUUUGGAAAUGCCUCAUAGCUCCCCAGAAGGCCAAAAUCUAAAAAAUUAAGUUCCAUGCUUGUUUGAAGAGAUGUAGGAUGAAAUGUAUUGCUGUGAACAGAGAACCAAACCUUCAAUUCCUGUAUUCCUAAUUAGCAUUUGGAAAGGAUGAAUUCAAUUACUGGCAUCUCCUCAAAAUUUGGUUAGAGAAUGCUUUCCACAAGCUCUAUACCCUUCCAAAACAUGAAUAAUUCACCAGUUCCUGUGGUUUUGGCUCAAUUUUCCUUCCUAGGAUGGAAUGAGUCGCUGUCUCAGUAAGGAAUCACUUCUACUGUCAGUACUACUGGUAGGUGGUAUAAACUGUUCUAGUGCCUAACUAUGAAAGUCGUAUUGGGAAAAGGAUGAAAAAUCCCUUGUCAAAUGCAUGAGCGCAUGCUGAUUCAAUUAAUUACCCAGGAUUGAAAUUCUGUUGGAGAGAGAAAGAGAUGAAUUAGUUACCAGUUAACCUGAGGUAGCAGGUGUUGCUAAAUACAUGACUCAAUGCUGGUAGAUGGGCGUUGGCUGGUGGCUGUAAAGCUUGAGCCAAAGUAAUGGUAAUCCCUUGGACAGAAGAUUGAUGUAUGAGCUGUUUAGGGAUAAGCACAGGUUGGAGAAGGGCUAUGAGAUAGCAGCAAGGUAGCCAAGUUUAACUGAUUUACUGCCUCAAAUCCUAUGCAUCAAAGCAAACUUAGAACAGCAACAUUUGAAUACAAACUUUCAAACACCACCCUCUUUCCCGCCCCCCCCCCCCUCCAAAAAAAGUUUCAGUGUCCAAAUCUGGAGUCUUGGUUCAGCCUAUCAUAGAGGCCAGCCACAAAAUUUGGCUCCAAACCCAAGUCUGAAUUCCAAACCCAACACCACCAAAGUUUAUGGAUGUUCAGGUUUGGGAGGACAGGGGCUGGUUCAGGCCCACCUCUAGGAUAACUGUUGAUGGUCUGCCAUUGGAUCCCUGGGAGACCCCGUGCAAGAGAGAGCUAGUCACCUGGGAUGCCUGUUUGCCUUGGGGAUGCUGCUUCUUGACUUGUUAUAUUGAAAUAGAAGCCCAUAUUUUGAUCCUAAUCUCCAUAACUUUCUGCCAAUAAACAGGGGGGGUUUUAAGCAGAAAUUUACAUGCAAUUUCACCUCCCACACAGUCCAGUCACCCCACCUGCUUCAUCUUGUGCAGUAACUAAUAAAAGAACAGCUGCCAUGGCUACUGUCGCUAUAUAAACUCAGGGGAAAGCUCUUCAGAUUUUAAGGCAUGCCUAGAGCAGAUGAUUAAACAACAUUUUAUUUAUUACAGAGAAGCCAUAAAUUAGAGCAGAAACAUACCAUGCCUCUGUGUGGGUUUCAGGUUUACAAGUAUGUACUUCAAAAAUAAUUGAAAUAUGGGUAAAACAGCAAAGGAGUGAGAGAAUAAGCAGGGUAGAACUCUGGGUGGAACCCUCAUUAUUAAAUCUAGUUAUAAUUAAUCUAGUAACGGCCGCAUGUAGUUUUCUAUGUAAUAGUACACUGGUCAGAGAUGACGUGUUUAGAGAACCUUUUCAACCCAUUUCCAGGCAUUCUCAUUUCCAGUAGUCUCAUCAGCAUUCCAAGGAAAUAUCCUCUAGAAAGGCAGAUUUGCAAUAGUGGUGAUGAUGUUUGCUGUAGCAGCCAAACAUCAAGGUCAUCGGAAAGAUUCUACAGACCUACUAAAGUGUUGACCUUUUGUCUUGAAAACGGUUGACUUUUAGAAUUGUUAUGGUGUAUAUCUCUUGCAAUUCUUUAUGCGUCUGAAAAAUACAUUUUUAUUGUUCUGCAGAGCUCCCAGUCACAUAUUGGGUUAUUGUUUUAAAUGCUGAGUAAAUAACAUUCCUUUGCUUUUGCAUUAUUCUCCUCCGGCUGCUUUCCUACCCCCACCGCCUUCCAUAAAAUGCCUGAUCCCAUGCUCUCUAAAUUCAGUGGAAAUAUGCUGGUUGGCUUUAAUGGCAGACAGGUUAGGUCCAAGGUAAGCAUUAAGGAUUUCACCUCUCUUUAAUUAUUGCUUCCCCAGUCUAGAGAAGUGUCACCAGCAUUUCAUUCCUGCCACUUCCACUUGCUAAAAAGUCAAUGGUUUCAGAGUAGCAGCCGUGUUAGUCUGUAUCCACAAAAAGAACAGGAGUACUUGUGGCACCUUAGAGACUAACAAAUUUAUUAGAGCAUAAGCUC